ACUCCUACGGGAGGCAGCAGUGGGAAUCUUGCGCAAUGGACGAAAGUCUGACGCAGCGACGCCGCGUGCGGGAUGACGGCCCUAGGGUUGUAAACCGCUUUCAGCAGGGACGAAAUUGACGGUACCUGCAGAAGAAGCCCCGGCCAACUACGUGCCAGCAGCCGCGGUAAUACGUAGGGGCUAGGCGUUGUCCGGAUUUAUUGGGCGUAAGAGCUCAGUAGGCGGUUUGGUAAGUCGGGUUGUGAAAACUCCAGGCUCAACCUGGAGAGGCCACCCGAUACUGCCCUGACUCGAGUCCGGCAGAGGAGUGUGGAAUUCCCAGUGUAGCGGUGAAAUGCGCAGAUAUUGGGAGGAACACCGGUAGCGAAGGCGGCACUCUGGGCCGGUACUGACGCUGAGGAGCGAAAGCGU
This 411-nucleotide ribosomal RNA is filed under the name uncultured bacterium. RNAcentral's name for it is "bacterial SSU rRNA". It matches the Rfam family "Bacterial small subunit ribosomal RNA", at positions 335 to 762 of the family's 1533-position model. The record is from RNAcentral.